Molecule: ribosomal RNA, 1387 nt
Filed under: Paracatenula galateia
Lineage: Eukaryota; Metazoa; Platyhelminthes; Paracatenulidae
Description: eukaryotic LSU rRNA
Rfam family: Eukaryotic large subunit ribosomal RNA
Source: RNAcentral
CAGGAUGCUGACGGGAGGUGUGGUGUUUAGUGUGUCCGUUGGAUGGUGAACUGAUGCCCAAGUUCUCUUGACUGGGGUUUGAUGGCCCAUAGCGGGUGUCAGGCCUUUAGGGUGUUGGUUCACCGUGCAUUGGUCACACGAAGAGUCGGGUUGUUUGCGAGUACAACCCAAAGUAGGUGGUAAACUCCAUCUAAGGCUAAAUACGAGUACGAGUCCGAUAGCGAACAAGUACCGUGAGGGAAAGUUGCAAAGAACUUUGAAGAGAGAGUUCAAGAGUACGUGAAACCUGCCGGAGUGAAGCGGGUGAACCCACAUGGUUGCCAGUUGGAAUCAGUCGUAUGAUUGGGACGCUUGGCCGUUUGUUGCAUUAGCUGUCGAGGCUGUGAGCAAGCGGUCAAGUGCUGUGUGUCCUCCCGGUUGUGCGAUUUAUUUCUGGCUGGCAAUGAGCCACGAAAGGUUACCUGGCUACUAGAAGCAGAUCGAAACGGUAGCGCUAGCAGUUCCUCUGGUUCUGUUGAGCGCGAAAGCUCGUUCUGUGAUAGUUUGCCGGGUGGCCGAGGACAGCUUGCACUGAGCUGCAGUUGUGUUUGCCCUAGUCUUUGGGGCUCGCUAAAUGUUCGAAUCGGUCGGUUUUGUUCGGGACUUCUGUGAAGUGCUGGGCAAGGCAGGCUGAUUGUGUGCAUGGGCAUUUGCGACCCGCCAGAGAGGUGAAGUGCAAAACUGUUCAGUGGCCUGUUGGUAACUCACCCGUCCCGUCUUGAAACACGGACCAAGGAGUGCAGCAUGCAGGCGAGUCUGAGGGUGAAGCAAAACCCGAAGGCGCAGCGAAAGCAAAGGCUGUCUGAUGGCAGCUAAGAUGUGAUCCAACUACAGCGAGAGCUGUACUGGCGCAACAUCGUCUCGUCGUAUCCCCGUGCGGGUGCGGCGAAGAUUGAGCCUGCACGCUGCGACCCGAAAGAUGGUGAACUAUGCCAGAGGAGGGCGAAGCCAGAGGAAACUCUGGUGGAGGCCCGAAGCGAUUCUAACGUGCAAAUUGAUCGUCAGACUUUGGUAUAGGGGCGAAAGACUAAUCGAACCAUCUAGUAGCUGGUUCCCUCCGAAGUUUCUCUCAGGAUAGCUGGUACUCGACGACACUGAUUUUUUCCCGGUAAAGCGAAUGAUUAGAGUGAUUUGGUUCGAAAUGAUCUAAACCUAUUCUCAAACUUUAAAUGGGAGAGCGAUUAGACUCGCUUGAAUGGAGUCUAAAAGUGAAUCAGUGGAGUGCCAAGUGGGCCAUUUUUGGUAAGCAGAACUGGCGCUGUGGGAUGAACCAAACGUCUGGUUAAGGUGCCAAAAGGACGCUCAUCGGAAACCACAAAAGGUGUUGGUUGAUUAAGACAGCAGGACG